Molecule: ribosomal RNA, 449 nt
Filed under: uncultured bacterium
Lineage: Bacteria
Description: bacterial SSU rRNA
Rfam family: Bacterial small subunit ribosomal RNA
Source: RNAcentral
GUGGGGAAUCUUGCGCAAUGGGCGAAAGCCUGACGCAGCGACGCCGCGUGGGUGAUGAAGGCCUUCGGGUUGUAAAGCCCUGUGGGGAGGGACGAAUAAGGGCGACCGAAUACGUCGCCAGAUGACGGUACCUCCUUAGCAAGCACCGGCUAACUCUGUGCCAGCAGCCGCGGUAAGACAGAGGGUGCAAACGUUGUUCGGAAUUACUGGGCGUAAAGCGCGUGUAGGCGGUUUGGUAAGUCGGAUGUGAAAGCCCGGGGCUCAACCCCGGAAGUGCAUUCGAUACUACCGAGCUAGAGUACUGGAGAGGAUGGUGGAACUCUCGGUGUAGAGGUGAAAUUCGUAGAUAUCGAGAAGAACACCGGUGGCGAAGGCGGCCAUCUGGACAGAUACUGACGCUGAGACGCGAAAGCGUGGGGAGCAAACAGGAUUAGAAACCCUAGUAGUCC